AGAGAUACAUACGUACCCAUUGAAAAAGACAUGUAGUUGCCUGUUACUACAAAAUUACCUAUUUUCAAUUGAUUUCUAUUAUUAUAUAUUAUAGUAUUAUAAUUAUAGAAUCAUAUUCAUUUUGUGUAUGGUACAAAGAAAUUAAAUAAAAAUAUUAAUAACAUAAUAUAACUGUUAAACAUACAUAUUUAGUGUUUGUAAACAUAACCUUUUAAUUUUAUUAACCACAUAUCCAAUAAAAAGUAUUUUGAAUACUUAAAUAUAAAAACAUAUGUACUUUAUAUGUAUAUACAUUCAAUAAUUCUUGUUAUAUUAUUAUUAUCUCAAUUAUAAACAACACGUACUAUGGGACGUAGUCGUUCACCUUCUCCAGGAAGAAGAAGAGAUCGAUCUCGAGAUCGAGAUCGGGAACGCGAACGAGAUAGAGAUAGAAGAAGAAGACAUUCUCGUGAAAGAAGACGAAGAUCUGUUGAACGGGAUCGAGUAAAAUCGAGAGAAAGAGAAAGGGAUCGUGACCGUGAACGAGAUAGGCACAGACGUUCAUAUAGUAGAUCUAGAUCAAGAGAAAGAGAUAGGCCUAAACCCAAAUUAAAACCUACAACAGAACGUCCUGUUAUUACAGAAGCUGAUCUUCAAGGAAAAACACCAGAAGAACAAGAAAUGAUGAGAAUAAUGGGUUUUUGUGGUUUUGAUACUACUAAGGGCAAAAAAGUUGAAGGAAAUGAUGUGGGAGCUGUACAUGUUAUUCUUAAAAGAAAGUAUAGACAAUACAUGAACAGAAAAGGAGGAUUCAAUAGACCAUUGGAUUUUGUAGCAUAAAUUUUAUAAAUAUGACAAUUCCAUAAACAAUACAAUUUCAAAUUCUUUACAAUUCGUACGAGUUCCAUUGUUUAGUGAGCCUGAUUAGAACAAUAGGAUGUGCAAAUGGUGCUCGAAUUAUGAUGUCUUCUGCUUUUAAUCGCAUCAACAACCAUGAAGCAUUAUCCAACUUUUGUUUAAUGUGACUAUUUAAUAUAGUAUAAAUUUGUAAUAUAGUAUCUUCGCGUAUAAUUUUA
Apis mellifera (honey bee) is the source of this 1055-nucleotide RNA transcript. It is a transcript of the gene named U4/U6.U5 small nuclear ribonucleoprotein 27 kDa protein, with no coding region annotated. The record is from RefSeq and is a predicted model, not a curated record. Lineage: Eukaryota; Metazoa; Arthropoda; Insecta; Hymenoptera; Apidae. The transcript is spliced from 4 exons.